This 430-nucleotide ribosomal RNA is filed under the name Pseudomonadota bacterium. RNAcentral describes it as "Proteobacteria bacterium partial 16S ribosomal RNA". It matches the Rfam family "Bacterial small subunit ribosomal RNA", at positions 355 to 776 of the family's 1533-position model. Lineage: Bacteria; Pseudomonadati; Pseudomonadota. The record is from RNAcentral.
UGGGGAAUAUUGGACAAUGGGCGCAAGCCUGAUCCAGCCAUGCCGCGUGUGUGAAGAAGGCCUUCUGGUUGUAAAGCACUUUAAGCGAGGAGGAGGCUACUUUAGUUAAUACCUAGAGAUAGUGGACGUUACUCGCAGAAUAAGCACCGGCUAACUCUGUGCCAGCAGCCGCGGUAAUACAGAGGGUGCAAGCGUUAAUCGGAAUUACUGGGCGUAAAGCGCGCGUAGGUGGUUCGUUAAGUUGAAUGUGAAAGCCCCGGGCUAAACCUGGGAACUGCAUCCAAAACUGGCGAGCUAGAGUAGGGCAGAGGGUGGUGGAAUUUCCUGUGUAGCGGAGAAAUGCGUAGAGAUAGGAAGGAAAACCAGUGGCGAAGGCGACCACCUGGGCUCAUACUGACACUGAGGUGCGAAAGCGUGGGGAGCAAACAGG